UGGGGAAUUUUGGACAAUGGGCGCAAGCCUGAUCCAGCAAUGCCGCGUGCAGGAUGAAGGCCUUCGGGUUGCAAACUGCUUUUGUACGGAGCGAAAAGGUCUGCCCUAAUACGGUGGGCUCAUGACGGUACCGUAAGAAUAAGCACCGGCUAACUACGUGCCAGCAGCCGCGGUAAUACGUAGGGUGCGAGCGUUAAUCGGAAUUACUGGGCGUAAAGCGCGCGUAGGUGGUUCAGCAAGUUGGAUGUGAAAGCCCCGGGCUCAACCUGGGAACUGCAUCCAAAACUACUGAGCUAGAGUACGGUAGAGGGUGGUGGAAUUUCCUGUGUAGCGGUGAAAUGCGUAGAUAUGCGGAGGAACACCGAUGGCGAAGGCAAUCCCCUGGACCUGUACUGACGCUCAUGCACGAAAGCGUGGGGAGCAAACA
Molecule: ribosomal RNA, 427 nt
Filed under: uncultured bacterium
Lineage: Bacteria
Description: bacterial SSU rRNA
Rfam family: Bacterial small subunit ribosomal RNA
Source: RNAcentral